AGCGAACGCUGGCGGCAGGCCUAACACAUGCAAGUCGAACGGAUCCUUCGGGAUUAGUGGCGGACGGGUGAGUAACACGUGGGAACGUGCCCUUUGGUUCGGAACAACUCAGGGAAACUUGAGCUAAUACCGGAUGUGCCCUUCGGGGGAAAGAUUUAUCGCCAUUGGAUCGGCCCGCGUCGGAUUAGCUAGUUGGUGAGGUAACGGCCCACCAAGGCGACGAUCAGUAGCUGGUCUGAGAGGAUGAUCAGCCACACUGGGACUGAGACACGGCCCAGACUCCUACGGGAGGCAGCAGUGGGGAAUCUUGCGCAAUGGGCGAAAGCCUGACGCAGCCAUGCCGCGUGAAUGAUGAAGGGCUUAGGAUUGUAAAAUUCUUUCAGCGGGGACGAUAAUGACGGUACCCGCAGAAGAAGCUCCGGCUAACUUCGU
RNAcentral lists this ribosomal RNA (432 nucleotides) under uncultured bacterium. Its description in RNAcentral is "partial 16S ribosomal RNA". It matches the Rfam family "Bacterial small subunit ribosomal RNA", at positions 29 to 506 of the family's 1533-position model. The record is from RNAcentral.